GGGGUAGGGGAGUAAACACAAGGGUUAAAGGAAUGUUAUGGCUAGUUGUUAAACAACGGUUAGAGGAAUGUUAUGGCUAGUGGUUAAACGAUGGUUGGAGGAAUGUUAUGGCUAAUUGUUAAACAACGGUUAGAGGAAUGUUAUGGCUAGAGGUUAAACACAAGGGUUAGAGGAAUGUUAUGGCUAGUGGUUAAACAACGGUUAGAGGAAUGUUAUGGCUAGAGGUUAAACAACGGUUAGAGGAAUGUUAUGGCUAGUGGUUAAACACAAGGGUUAGAGGAUGUUAUGGCUAGUGGUUAAACACAAGGUUAGAGGAAUGUUAUGGCUAGUGGUUAAACACAAGGGUUAGAGGAAUGUUAUGGCUAGUGGUUAAACACAAGGGUUAGAGGAAUGUUAUGGCUAGUGGUUAAACACAAGGGUUAGAGGAAUGUUAUGGCUAGUGGUUAAACACAAGGGUUAAAAGGAAUGUUAUGGCUAGUGGUUAAACAACGGUUGGAGGAAUGUUAUGGCUAGGAUUAAACACAAGGGUUAGAGGAAUGUUAUGGCUAGUGGUUAAAUAACGGUUGGAGGAAUGUUAUGGCUAGAGGUUAAACCAAGGGUUACAGGAAUGUUAUGGCUAGUGGUUAAACAACGGUUAGAGGAAUGUUAUGGCUAGAGGUUAAACGGUUAGAGGAAUGUUAUGGCUAGUGGUUAAACAACGGUUAGAGGAAUGGUAUGGCUAGUGGUUAAACACAAGGGUAAGAGGAAAGUCUAAUUUGUGUCGUAUUAACUC
Non-coding RNA from Salvelinus sp. IW2-2015, 772 nucleotides. Lineage: Eukaryota; Metazoa; Chordata; Actinopteri; Salmoniformes; Salmonidae. The record is from RefSeq and is a predicted model, not a curated record.